CAUAUCACAUUGAAACAUAGAUUCCCAUAUGAUCACUGAAGUUAAGCAACAUCAAGCUUGGUCAGUACAUAGAUGGGUGACCGCUUGGGAAUACUAGGUGCUGUAAG
Molecule: non-coding RNA, 107 nt
Organism: Acanthosepion pharaonis
Lineage: Eukaryota; Metazoa; Mollusca; Cephalopoda; Sepiida; Sepiidae
Source: the annotation of a GenBank genome assembly